CGUGUGGCCUAGCCAGGAUAUGGCGCUGGCCUUCUAAGCCAGCAGUCGUGGGUUCGAAUGCAUGAUGUGUA
Molecule: transfer RNA, 71 nt
Filed under: Thermoplasmatales archaeon
Lineage: Archaea; Methanobacteriati; Thermoplasmatota; Thermoplasmata; Thermoplasmatales
Description: tRNA-Arg
Source: RNAcentral